RNAcentral lists this ribosomal RNA (492 nucleotides) under uncultured bacterium. RNAcentral's name for it is "partial 16S ribosomal RNA". It matches the Rfam family "Bacterial small subunit ribosomal RNA", at positions 29 to 507 of the family's 1533-position model. The record is from RNAcentral.
AGUGAACGCUGGCGGUAGGCCUAACACAUGCAAGUCGAACGGCAGCACAGUAAGAGCUUGCUCUUACGGGUGGCGAGUGGCGGACGGGUGAGGAAUACAUCGGAAUCUACUUUUUCGUGGGGGAUAACGUAGGGAAACUUACGCUAAUACCGCAUACGACCUACGGGUGAAAGCAGGGGAUCUUCGGACCUUGCGCGGUUGAAUGAGCCGAUGUCGGAUUAGCUAGUUGGCGGGGCAAAGGCCCACCAAGGCGACGAUCCGUAGCUGGUCUGAGAGGAUGAUCAGCCACACUAGAACUGAGACACGGUCCAGACUCCUACGGGAGGCAGCAGUGGGGAAUAUUGGACAAUGGGCGCAAGCCUGAUCCAGCCAUACCGCGUGGGUGAAGAAGGCCUUCGGGUUGUAAAGCCCUUUUGUUGGGAAAGAAAAGCAGCAGGUUAAUACCCCGCUGUUCUGACGGUACCCAAAGAAUAAGCACCGGCUAACUUCGUG